RNAcentral lists this ribosomal RNA (725 nucleotides) under Caryophyllia planilamellata. Its description in RNAcentral is "eukaryotic LSU rRNA". It matches the Rfam family "Eukaryotic large subunit ribosomal RNA", at positions 65 to 641 of the family's 3401-position model. Lineage: Eukaryota; Metazoa; Cnidaria; Anthozoa; Scleractinia; Caryophylliidae. RNAcentral also lists the same sequence under 1 other name. The record is from RNAcentral.
CUAACAAGGAUUCCCCCAGUAACGGCGAGUGAAGCGGGACCAGCUCAAAUUUGAAAUCUCCGAUGCCUGCAUCGGCGAGUUGUAGUUGCGAGAAGCACUUUCUAGGUGGAUCGGUCGUGCCUAAGUUGCUUGGAACAGCACGUCGCAGAGGGUGACAACCCCGUCUGUGGCGCGGCCGGCCGCCGACGAUGUGCUUUCGAAGAGUCGGGUUGUUUGGGAAUGCAGCCCAAAAUGGGUGGUAAACUCCAUCUAAAGCUAAAUACUGGCGUGAGACCGAUAGCGAACAAGUACCGUGAGGGAAAGAUGAAAAGAACUUUGAAAAGAGAGUUAAAAAGUACGUGAAACCGUUAAAAGGGAAACGAAUGGACUCAGCAAUGCGCCGUUUGAGAUUCAGCCGGUGGGUGGAAUCGGCCCGGGGUUUGCGGAUCCGAACGGACCGCGGUCUCGGGCUCGUUUCUCCCCGCCGUCGCACUUCUCUUGGGCGCGCGUCAACGUCGGUUGGGACUGGGUCUGAAAGUCGCCGGGAAGGUAGGUCUGGCAGCCCGGCCUCUCAUGGCUCGUGCCCGACCGAGGAGUCGCAGCGCAUGCCUCUUGUGGCUAGGGUCCCGUCCUUCCGGCCGACUGUCGAAUGCGGUGGACUGCUUGCAGUGCUCCGCGACUGCUGCCGGUCGUUGGGGUGGUGAUCUCGUACCAUGCGCUUGGGAUGUUGGCGGUCAUAUGGGUCC